Molecule: unclassified non-coding RNA, 267 nt
Filed under: Hevea brasiliensis (rubber tree)
Lineage: Eukaryota; Viridiplantae; Streptophyta; Magnoliopsida; Malpighiales; Euphorbiaceae
Source: RNAcentral
GGUCGAAGGCGGUUACCAUGUCGGCGGAGGAUUUGGAGAACGGAGAGUUUUACUUGAGAUAUUAUGUGGGGCACAAAGGGAAAUUUGGACAUGAAUUCUUGGAGUUCGAAUUCCGACCCGAUGGCAAGCUUCGCUAUGCUAACAACUCCAACUACAAGAACGACACCAUGAUUCGAAAGGAAGUCUACCUCACCCCUGCUGUCCUUCGGGAAUGCCGUCGAAUCAUCUCCGAUAGCGAGAUUAUGAAGGAAGACGACAAUAAUUGGC